UCGAAUUGUCAACAAGAGUUGUUGCUGGUCUCCACAUGGGGGCAUGUGCACGCUCUGUUUACACAUCCACUCACACCUGUGCACCCUCUGUAGUUCUAUGGCCUGGGUGGGCUCUGUCCUCCCGCUGUGGUUCUACGUCUUUACACACACACUACAAUAAGGUCUCAUGGAAUGUAUGUAGCGUCUAACGCAAUGAAAUA
This 200-nucleotide unclassified non-coding RNA is filed under the name uncultured Tomentella. RNAcentral describes it as "sequence contains ITS1". Lineage: Eukaryota; Fungi; Basidiomycota; Agaricomycetes; Thelephorales; Thelephoraceae. The record is from RNAcentral.